Molecule: non-coding RNA, 30 nt
Filed under: Mus musculus (house mouse)
Lineage: Eukaryota; Metazoa; Chordata; Mammalia; Rodentia; Muridae
Source: RNAcentral
UAGAGAUUCAUGCCAAGACUUGAUAAACGC